Pongo abelii (Sumatran orangutan) is the source of this 1004-nucleotide long non-coding RNA. The record is from Ensembl. NCBI's taxonomy places the organism in Eukaryota, Metazoa, Chordata, Mammalia, Primates, Hominidae.
AAAAGAAUUAACCAUCUUGUGCAAAAAGAAAAUUUUCCACUAUUUUUUUAAAGUUUCUAUUUUGGGUAAAUCAUUUCAAGAUAACAAAUUGGAGAGAGAGAGAGAGAAAAAUUAGCCUUUUUAAGAUGCAGUUUAUUUUGCCCCAUGAUGUUUUUGUUUUUACCAGAGCCUUUACUGUGAGUAGGACAGGACUCAGGAGUCCUCUGAACAAAAAGAAGCGUUGAAGCUUCAUUUGGUUGUUGGAAUUAGGAGAGCACAAUUGGUUGGAAGGAAAGCAGUUUCUCUCAAAAAAAAAAAAAAAAAAAAAGCCAGCGUGCUGGUGCGGGUCCAUGGUCCAAGCUACUUGGGAGGCUGAGGUGGGGGGAUCGCUUGAGCCCGGAAGUCGAGGCUAUAGUGAGCCGUGAUUGCACCACUGCACUCCAGCCUGGGCGACAGAACAAGACCCUGUCUCUUAAAACAAACAAACAAGAAACAAAACAAAACAACAACAAAAAAAAUCAUUUGGGAAUGUUUCUGCGCGUGCCCAGAAGCAGAGCCUGUGCCCCACAGUCAGCUUCUUACUUGGAGGGUAGAGAACGGUGCUUCCCCACGCUACUGUGCAAUGGAGAGGAGCUAUGUGAAGCUGGCCUAUGGGUGGGGUUUGCAGGCUUCGUCCGGCUUCAUCGCCGGCUGCUGACCCGGCACCAAUUCCUGUUCUGCAGGUCCCACCGCAGAGGGGCACGCCAGCCAUGAGGACAGAUGAGGGAACACGUGAUGCCACGAUGGGGGUGCCAGGAUGCGGUGGGUGCGGUCGCGGACAGGCGCACGAGGAGCCCAGCGGAGCGCCACCCGGAGCAGGCGCGGAGGAGGGCUGGGGAGGGCCACCAAGGCGACGAGAGCCGGUGUGCCUGAAUCAGCCUAAAGGAGACGGAGGAGGAGUGUGGGGGCGGUGCUGCUUUAGUUUUGGCCUGGUCGGGGUUGAGCGGAGGAGGGAGCGACUUCGAAUUCAGUCUGCACCGGACUGA